GAUGAACGCUGGCGGCGUGCCUAAUACAUGCAAGUCGAGCGAACAGACGAGGAGCUUGCUCCUCUGACGUUAGCGGCGGACGGGUGAGUAACACGUGGAUAACCUACCUAUAAGACUGGGAUAACUUCGGGAAACCGGAGCUAAUACCGGAUAAUAUAUUGAACCGCAUGGUUCAAUAGUGAAAGACGGUUUUGCUGUCACUUAUAGAUGGAUCCGCGCCGCAUUAGAUAGUUGGUAAGGUAACGGCUUACCAAGGCAACGAUGCGUAGCCGACCUGAGAGGGUGAUCGGCCACACUGGAACUGAGACACGGUCCAGACUCCUACGGGAGGCAGCAGUAGGGAAUCUUCCGCAAUGGGCGAAAGCCUGACGGAGCAACGCCGCGUGAGUGAUGAAGGCCUUCGGAUCGUAAAACUCUGUUAUUAGGGAAGAACAAAUGUGUAAGUAACUAUGCACGUCUUGACGGUACCUAAUCAGAAAGCCACGGCUAACUACGUG
This 497-nucleotide ribosomal RNA is filed under the name uncultured bacterium. Its description in RNAcentral is "partial 16S ribosomal RNA". It matches the Rfam family "Bacterial small subunit ribosomal RNA", at positions 28 to 507 of the family's 1533-position model. The record is from RNAcentral.